GUUGUCGGAUUCACUUCAAUCCAUGUGUAUUGGUGUGGGUUGGGAUGAAAUUUAGUUCAAGUUCCAGAAUAAAAUUUAGUUCAAGUUCCACUCCAAUCCACCUCAACACAUGUGGAUUGAUGUGAAUCCGACU
This is a microRNA precursor of Sorghum bicolor (sorghum), 133 nucleotides long. It matches the Rfam family "MIR5565 microRNA precursor family". The record is from Rfam. NCBI's taxonomy places the organism in Eukaryota, Viridiplantae, Streptophyta, Magnoliopsida, Poales, Poaceae.